Long non-coding RNA from Impatiens glandulifera, 824 nucleotides. RefSeq lists it as uncharacterized. The transcript is spliced from 2 exons. Lineage: Eukaryota; Viridiplantae; Streptophyta; Magnoliopsida; Ericales; Balsaminaceae. The record is from RefSeq and is a predicted model, not a curated record.
GUUCUCAAAUGAAGUCAAUAUCUCCAUCAUCAUCCAACAACUAAAAGCAGAGAAAAACCUAAUAUUGCAAGGAAAAAUAGAAUAGCAAUGAUCCUAAGAUCUGUACCAGACAUUAUCUUUCACCCUGAACUAUCCUAUCACUGAUCUCAAAAUGGCAGAUGAAAACGAUUUGAAAUAUGGAAAUAUACUAAUGAUUCUUUAAAAGAAAAGAGUUACUUACUCCAAGAGGUUCAUAUAAUAAAUGCAGGUCUUCAUAAUCAACGCUUUGAUUAGUGGAAAAACAAUGCACGAAAUUAAAGAGUAAAGACGAAGGAACCUUUCAGAUUCACUGAUUGUUCUUCCACUGUUCCAAUCGUCCUUCUCCAUCGCUUCCCAAACUCUUAGUUUGUCUUCAUUUGAUUCUGUAAAUUAUAUCAUAUGAUUCAUAUCUUUAUUAUGUUAUAAAUCAAGAACAGUAUAAGUAAGUGAUUGUAAGCAACUCGUGAUUCAGGCAAAAUCAUGAUAAAUUCAAUCUUCUUUCUUGCCUAAAUCGCGCUAGUAUAAAGAAAGAUGUAAAUUUUAGUAAAAAUGUACAGGACAUGAAACAAGUUGAAGAUUAUUUAUAUGCUUCUCCCAACCGUUUUACAAGAAAGAGAGCUUUUGACAGUGUAAUUCUAGUUGUUAUGCAUGCUGCAUGAUCCACUGCAUUAUGUCUUUACGAAUGACGCCCUCCUCUAAACCCACUCUUCUUCUCCCAAUACUCAAGAACCUCUGCUGAAUCACGACCCCGGAUGGCCUCAUCAUUGUCUUCUCAAACGGUCUCGACCAAACAUUUCCAGAUGCAG